AACUUACCUACAACGUUGCUUCGGCGGGAACAGACGGCCCUGUAAAACGGGCCGCCCCCGCCAGAGGACCCCUAACUCUGUUUUUAUAAUGUUUUUCUGAGUAAACAAGCAAAUAAAUUAAAACUUUCAACAACGGAUCUCUUGGCUCUGGCAUCGAUGAAGAACGCAGCGAAAUGCGAUAAGUAAUGUGAAUUGCAGAAUUCAGUGAAUCAUCGAAUCUUUGAACGCACAUUGCGCCCGCCAGUAUUCUGGCGGGCAUGCCUGUUCGAGCGUCAUUACAACCCUCAGGCCUCCGGGCCUGGCGUUGGGGAUCGGCGGAGCCCCCCCGUGGGCACACGCCGUCCCCCAAAUACAGUGGCGGUCCCGCCGCAGCUUCCAUUGCGUAGUAGCUAACACCUCGCAACUGGAGAGCGGCGCGGCCACGCCGUAAAACACCCAACUUCUGAA
This 447-nucleotide unclassified non-coding RNA is filed under the name Fusarium neocosmosporiellum. Its description in RNAcentral is "sequence contains 18S rRNA gene, ITS1, 5.8S rRNA gene, ITS2, 28S rRNA gene". The stretch from base 122 to 275 matches the Rfam family "5.8S ribosomal RNA". Lineage: Eukaryota; Fungi; Ascomycota; Sordariomycetes; Hypocreales; Nectriaceae. The record is from RNAcentral.